This 73-nucleotide transfer RNA is filed under the name Canis lupus familiaris (dog). It matches the Rfam family "tRNA". From Rfam's summary of the family: Transfer RNA (tRNA) molecules are approximately 80 nucleotides in length. Their secondary structure includes four short double-helical elements and three loops (D, anti-codon, and T loops). Lineage: Eukaryota; Metazoa; Chordata; Mammalia; Carnivora; Canidae. The record is from Rfam by way of RNAcentral.
ACCUGGCUGGCUCAGUCGGUGGAGUGUAUGACUUUUUAUCUUGAAGUCAUGAGUUUGAGUCCCACGUUGGGUG